UUUUAGCAGCGAAUCUCACGCAGCCCGACUUGAGUGGAGCUCUUUUUGUUAUUGCGAUUGCUGAAAAGUUCAACUUGUUGACUCACUUUCUUCGCAAUGACAAAAAAGCGGGAACGGAAGGCGGAAAUAGCU
Molecule: unclassified non-coding RNA, 132 nt
Filed under: Chryseobacterium formosense
Lineage: Bacteria; Pseudomonadati; Bacteroidota; Flavobacteriia; Flavobacteriales; Weeksellaceae
Description: Flavo-1 RNA
Source: RNAcentral